This 900-nucleotide ribosomal RNA is filed under the name Fusarium sp. RNAcentral's name for it is "partial large subunit ribosomal RNA". It matches the Rfam family "Eukaryotic large subunit ribosomal RNA", at positions 38 to 967 of the family's 3401-position model. The record is from RNAcentral. Lineage: Eukaryota; Fungi; Ascomycota; Sordariomycetes; Hypocreales; Nectriaceae.
GCAUAUCAAUAAGCGGAGGAAAAGAAACCAACAGGGAUUGCCCUAGUAACGGCGAGUGAAGCGGCAACAGCUCAAAUUUGAAAUCUGGCUCUCGGGCCCGAGUUGUAAUUUGUAGAGGAUGCUUUUGAUGCGGUGCCUUCCGAGUUCCCUGGAACGGGACGCCAUAGAGGGUGAGAGCCCCGUCUGGUUGGAUGCCAAAUCUCUGUAAAGCUCCUUCAACGAGUCGAGUAGUUUGGGAAUGCUGCUCUAAAUGGGAGGUAUAUGUCUUCUAAAGCUAAAUACCGGCCAGAGACCGAUAGCGCACAAGUAGAGUGAUCGAAAGAUGAAAAGCACUUUGAAAAGAGAGUUAAAAAGUACGUGAAAUUGUUGAAAGGGAAGCGUUUAUGACCAGACUUGGACUUGGUUAAUCAUCUGGGGUUCUCCCCAGUGCACUUUUCCAGUUCAGGCCAGCAUCAGUUUUCCCCGGGGGAUAAAGGCGGCGGGAAUGUGGCUCUCUUCGGGGAGUGUUAUAGCCCGCCGUGUAAUACCCUGGGGGGGGACUGAGGUUCGCGCAUCUGCAAGGAUGCUGGCGUAAUGGUCAUCAACGACCCGUCUUGAAACACGGACCAAGGAGUCGUCUUCGUAUGCGAGUGUUCGGGUGUCAAACCCCUACGCGUAAUGAAAGUGAACGCAGGUGAGAGCUUCGGCGCAUCAUCGACCGAUCCUGAUGUUCUCGGAUGGAUUUGAGUAAGAGCAUACGGGGCCGGACCCGAAAGAAGGUGAACUAUGCCUGUAUAGGGUGAAGCCAGAGGAAACUCUGGUGGAGGCUCGCAGCGGUUCUGACGUGCAAAUCGAUCGUCAAAUAUGGGCAUGGGGGCGAAAGACUAAUCGAACCUUCUAGUAGCUGGUUUCCGCCGAAGU